GAGCAUAGCUCAGUUGGUAGAGCAAGUGACUCUUAAUCACUGGGUCGUGGGUUCGAAUCCCUCUGCUC
Molecule: transfer RNA, 68 nt
Filed under: bovine gut metagenome
Rfam family: tRNA
About the family: Transfer RNA (tRNA) molecules are approximately 80 nucleotides in length. Their secondary structure includes four short double-helical elements and three loops (D, anti-codon, and T loops). Further hydrogen bonds mediate the characteristic L-shaped molecular structure. tRNAs have two regions of fundamental functional importance: the anti-codon, which is responsible for specific mRNA codon recognition, and the 3' end, to which the tRNAs corresponding amino acid is attached (by aminoacyl-tRNA synthetases). tRNAs cope with the degeneracy of the genetic code in two manners: having more than one tRNA (with a specific anti-codon) for a particular amino acid; and 'wobble' base-pairing, i.e. permitting non-standard base-pairing at the 3rd anti-codon position.
Source: RNAcentral